GUGGUUUUUGAUCCUGGCUCAGACGACCGCUGGCUGUGCGAUGCCUAAUACAUGCAAGUCGAGCGAACAGAGAAGGAGCUUGCUCCUUUGACGUUAGCGGCGGACGGGUGAGUAACACGUGGGCAACCUACCUUAUAGUUUGGGAUAACUCCGGGAAACCGGGGCUAAUACCGACACUAAUCUAUUUUACUUCAUGGUGAAAUACUGAAAGACCGGUUUUCGGCUGUCGCUAAUAAAGAAUGGGGCCCCGCGGGCCGGCAUUUAGCUAAGUUGGGUUGGAAAGGUUAAACCGGGUUCCACCCAAAGGGCGGACGGA
This 316-nucleotide ribosomal RNA is filed under the name uncultured bacterium. Its description in RNAcentral is "bacterial SSU rRNA". It matches the Rfam family "Bacterial small subunit ribosomal RNA", at positions 1 to 283 of the family's 1533-position model. The record is from RNAcentral.